CACCAUCCCCAACACCUGGCUCCAGGCACCCCAAGUGACACUCCCCUGUCCAGCACAUCUUUGAUGGAGCUUGAAGAAAUCAUGGUGAAAGAGAUAAUAAAUUGCAGCUGUCAAGUUCUCUACAGAAAAGUGGAAUUCCAGCAGCUGACCUUCCUCAUACAACGUUCCACCCCCUGGCAUUCUUCCGUGGACAUCUGCUUUGGACUGGCAUUUCUAUCGGACUCACUGGUACAA
This is a long non-coding RNA of Erinaceus europaeus (western European hedgehog), 234 nucleotides long. RefSeq lists it as uncharacterized. The record is from RefSeq and is a predicted model, not a curated record. NCBI's taxonomy places the organism in Eukaryota, Metazoa, Chordata, Mammalia, Eulipotyphla, Erinaceidae. The transcript has 3 exons.